AGUGAACGCUGGCGGUAGGCCUAACACAUGCAAGUCGGACGGCAGCACAGUAAGAGCUUGCUCUUACGGGUGGCGAGUGGCGGACGGGUGAGGAAUACAUCGGAAUCUACUUUUUCGUGGGGGAUAACGUAGGGAAACUUACGCUAAUACCGCAUACGACCUACGGGUGAAAGCAGGGGAUCUUCGGACCUUGCGCGAUUGAAUGAGCUGAUGUCGGAUUAGCUAGUUGGCGGGGUAAAGGCCCACCAAGGCGACGAUCCGUAGCUGGUCUGAGAGGAUGAUCAGCCACACUGGAACUGAGACACGGUCCAGACUCCUACGGGAGGCAGCAGUGGGGAAUAUUGGACAAUGGGCGCAAGCCUGAUCCAGCCAUACCGCGUGGGUGAAGAAGGCCUUCGGGUUGUAAAGCCCUUUUGUUGGGAAAGAAAAGCAGCAGGUUAAUACCCCGCUGUUCUGACGGUACCCAAAGAAUAAGCACCGGCUAACUUCGUG
This 492-nucleotide ribosomal RNA is filed under the name uncultured bacterium. RNAcentral describes it as "partial 16S ribosomal RNA". It matches the Rfam family "Bacterial small subunit ribosomal RNA", at positions 29 to 507 of the family's 1533-position model. The record is from RNAcentral.